This 490-nucleotide ribosomal RNA is filed under the name uncultured bacterium. Its description in RNAcentral is "partial 16S ribosomal RNA". It matches the Rfam family "Bacterial small subunit ribosomal RNA", at positions 30 to 507 of the family's 1533-position model. The record is from RNAcentral.
AUUGAACGCUGGCGGCAGGCUUAACACAUGCAAGUCGAGCGGUAGCACAAGAGAGCUUGCUCUCUGGGUGACGAGCGGCGGACGGGUGAGUAAUGUCUGGGAAACUGCCUGAUGGAGGGGGAUAACUACUGGAAACGGUAGCUAAUACCGCAUAACGUCGCAAGACCAAAGAGGGGGACCUUCGGGCCUCUUGCCAUCAGAUGUGCCCAGCUGGGAUUAGCUAGUAGGUGGGGUAAUGGCUCACCUAGGCGACGAUCCCUAGCUGGUCUGAGAGGAUGACCAGCCACACUGGAACUGAGACACGGUCCAGACUCCUACGGGAGGCAGCAGUGGGGAAUAUUGCACAAUGGGCGCAAGCCUGAUGCAGCCAUGCCGCGUGUGUGAAGAAGGCCUUCGGGUUGUAAAGCACUUUCAGCGAGGAGGAAGGUGGUGAACUUAAUACGUUCAUCAAUUGACGUUACUCGCAGAAGAAGCACCGGCUAACUCCGUG